AUAUAUAUAUGUGUGUGUGUGUGUGUGUGUGUGUGUGUGUGUGUGUACGUACGUAUGUUUAAUUUAGUAGGCUAUGUAUGCACGCAUGUAUAUAUGAAUAUAUGCAUUUAUGAUAGAAUUUUUUCAUAAUCAUGUAUACAUAUGUAAGCAGGAUGUAGCUUGAUGAUACAUAAUUAUCCUAUUUAAUAAUUUCUGUUGGAUCUUACUGAAGCUAUCAUUGUGUUUGCCCAAGCCAGUAUAUUGCUUGUUGCAUGUAUUUUGCUAUUUACUCUUUUGUAUGUCUCUUUUCUCAUAAUCAAACUUGUUAAACUAAGAAAUCUGGCAGAAAUAUUAUAUUCGAUUCACAACUUGGAUAUUGACGAGAGACAAGAAUAUUUACAAUCAGUACAGUUUAAUAAACACUACAAAUUAUCGUACAUUUUGAAGAAUUAAUGUACCCAUGUACUAGUUGCCUAACACAGAGUUGAUUCAGAAUGUUUUAUGAUCAAAAUUACUAAAAGCUUUAAGAUAAUCUAGAAUAUUCAAGGACUUCUAAUUAAAUUACCAUAUAUCGUAUUUUAACUAUGACUAAUUGAGAAUUAAAUUUCAAGAGUAAAACUCAGACCACUCGAGGGGUGAGAUUGCAGUGUUUACUUCAAUGUUCCACUCAAUGCAUCAAAAUUUCAAAAAAAUUACAUAAUAUAUUAAACAUGAGACAAAUGAAAACGAAUAAACAUUUAUAAUGUCUUUAAAUUUCAAGAAUUAUAUAUACAGCAUAUUAUGUACAAAUCUUGUUAUACUACUACUGCAUGCUCAAGUUCAUAAUACUUUGACUCAAAUUCUGUCGUAUUCAAGAAAUAUGAUUUGCUUAUUUCAUUAUUCUAUGCAUUAACUUGGCAGUCAAAAUACGGUUUAUUGUUUUUGUCUACUGAAUAAGUUACAUUACAGUAUUAUUUGUAAUAGUUCAUUGAGCUUUCUUUCUUUAUUUAUGUUAUAUUAUACUUUUCAUCUUGCACCUGUUCUUGUAUUUGUCUUAGUAGUUUAAGUAUCAUUAAUUAUUUUAUUUAAUAUAAUAUUCCAAUUUUAUUUCUUAUUUGUGCUUGAUGUCAUUUUUUUCUUUUAGUGAAUAUCUACUGCUAGAUAUCGAGAUUAAGAUAACAAUUAAGUUUAUUGUUUUGGCUUUAUUCUGUUUUGUUAUGCAAUAUUAUUUUAUAGGUACUUACUAUGUACACUGUUCCCCUGGUAUCAUAUACUGUACAUAGACAAGAGGUAAAUAAUUCAUAGAGUGACGGCAUUUGAUUGGCUGAUUCUCUGACUGUUGAGAAACUGUUAAAACAAUAUGGUGCAAAAGAUCGAAAAAUCAUAGUUUGUUGCUCUUGCACCAUGUUGUUUUAACUGGUACUCUAAGACGCCGUCGUUCAGUCAGACGAAAGGCGUAUCUAUUGUCGAUGUAUAAUUAUGACAACAGGGAAUCAGGUAACUCAUAAUGCAUAUACUUUAUUCAUUUUCUUCUAAUUUCUCAAUAUAAUUAAUUGUUUACCGAUUCUAGCAUUUCGUCUGCCACGAUUUUGAAUUAUGAUCAUGUUACCCCAAAGGAGGGAAACAUUUUUUUUAUUCGUGUAAACACUUAAUAAUUAUUCAGUUCUGGGCCAAUUCAUUUGGAACUUGACAGGCUUGUACCUCGGUUCAGUACGCCUAUACAUCUGGCACAUCAUUUAUUUUCUUAUUUACUCUCUGUAACGAUUUUACAAGUCAAACAACCCAAAAACAUAUUCUGAGUGGCUGUUCGGUUAUAUUUUGACCAACUGAGAUGAAAGUUAUCGCUUGGUUUGCAUGACUGAACCAUUUACAAUGAUUUCUGUACCAAUAAGUCUUUUUAUUUUAUUAUUUGUCAAUAAUAUUCACCAUACCAGGUCUAGAUAUGUUUGUGUCCUGUUGUAAAUAUGCAACAUAGACAACAGGUAACAACCUUAGUCUGCACCUGGCUUUCUUCAUUUCAUUAUUUUUUAAACUAGAAUUACUAUACAUAUAAACACUUCGUAAUUAUAAUACUUUUGUUCUUAGAGUUUAAUAUUUUAGUUCAGCAUACACUUAAUUAUUUUAACUUAUGUUAUUUCGCUUUGUUUCUACAGUAUAUAAACCUAAUUUACUUAAAGCAUAUUGUACUAUCAAGUUUUCAAUACGCACUUACCGCUGCUUAACAAGGCCAGUAAAUAAAGGAAGGGAAGGUGGUUGAUUCAACAGUAACCAAUGAAAGUUUAUAUUUUCAUUGUUCUUUUUGUUUUAAGUGAUGGAACUAUUAAGGGUAAUUGCACCGUAAAAAUAAUACUUGGUUUUCAAAUAAUAAUAUACACACUGUUAAGAGGCCGUUGUGCGUAUUGUAUCUUAUUGACCUUUAAGUUUUAGUAUCAAAAUAUAUUAUGAUUAGUUUCUUUGAAUUAGACAUACCACUGGAAGACAUGAAAAAACCAACGUUAGAAAAGUACAGUACUGCAAAAAGAUCAAUAAACCAUUAAUUUUUCAGUUAAAUGAGCCAACCAAACCUAACCUAACCGAAAACUACACUACGAUCAUUUAGCUUAGGUUAAAUGCAGGUCGCUUAGAUAUAAAUAAACAUGAAUAAAUUUGCAUGAUUUAACGUUCCACUGAUUACAUUGUCAUCAGUUGUUUAUAAUUCAUAAUUUAUAUAUAAUUCUCGGUCCUUUUCGCUAUACUUUUCGAGCAUUGGUCGUCACAUACAAGUAAUGUUUUCCUAAAUCCAGUCUUCCAUUAGUGUUAGCCAACCUCGGUGAAGCUUACCAAGUUUAUCGUUUUAUUAACCCUUUUAAUUUAUACGAAGUGUCAUUUAUUCUAUACUACAAAUAAGGUAUCAUUCCAUUUAGCCUUACUUUGUUCAAUGCAGUUGUGGCUCUUAUUCUUACCUAAGUUUCGUUGUAAAAAAGACGAGAAACGGUUGGAUCUCAUCAACAACGCAUAAUUAUUCCCACCACGUGUUUAUGCCUCGCUCUUUAUUCUGUGUAUUGUAGUUUUGCUUCUGGUAAAUAUGUCAUGUUUGCUGUAUGUUCAACGGGCCACUACACAGUAGGGGACUAGUUAACUGUUUUGUCGUCACUUUCAUUUUCAAUGCUUUACACUGUUUUUAUGUUGCCAUUAUCAUUAUUUCGCGUCUUCUCUAUAAGCACCGAACUUAAUUGUUCUUUUUGUUUGGGUUCUUAUUAUUGAUCUCCUUAUACUGUAUAUGUAGAUGAUGCUUUGCUUUUUUCCAGCAUAUUUUUGUAUCGUCGUCAAUCAGAAUAUCAUUCUUAAAUUUAUUUUGUUGGUGACAGACUAGUGUGUUUACUAAUGAAAAAAACGCUUAAAGACCUCAGUUGAUGAAGCGUAGUAAUAACUUCUAAAAACAACUUCUGUUACUGUGUUUACGCUGGAGGCUGGUCGACUGGUUUGUAUUCUUUCAGACUGCGUUUAGAUGGUUGCCGAGUUGGGUGCUUUAGUUUCAUUAAAAUUAAACACGCAAAGUUUUUUGUUAUUUUUUUAAUGCGUGAUAAAAUACAAAGGUUCUUAUGUUAGUACAAUUAAUUUUGUUGCAGCAGAUAGUUACCAGCUGUACAAGAAGUUUUGUUUCUUUGUUAAUUUCUAGUGUUAUGUUUUUGCAAUAAUUUUGUUACGUUUUCAUUUUGUUUCUUUUACGUUGUCUUUUUAUUUUUGUAGCAUUUGUUUUCAAAAAAACAGUUUCCAAAUAAAAAAAAAGCCCAAAAAUAUUAUAUUAUAAUUAGAGUGUAAGAACAGACCUGCAGUAUCUACUUACUAAUAAAAAAAUCAAUUUAGUCUUUAUAAUAUUUUUGGAAUAUAAUAAAAUACUUCACUAUCAUACUAUAUUAAUCUGUAAAAAAAAAUAAAAGUAAUAAGGAAAAUUAUCCUCAUUAAAUAUAGACAGUAAUACGAAUAAAAAUUGUCAAUAUUGUUUUGUAUUAUUUUAGCCUAAUUUUCAGUAUUUCGUGAAAGUUGAAAAUACUAUAUUGUACUGCAUAAAUUUGGAUUCUAUGACAUACAAGGACCCCCUCUGAAAUAUGUGGACCCUUCUGAUAUACCGUAUAUCUAACCGGAGUAUAUCCCUACGUGGAAAUUGUGUAGUACGAUAACAGUAGUGGUCAUCAGUUUAUAGAGGGCCCAAGGGAUCCCUAAACACCCUUUCCCUCCGAAGUGCACGGUCAUGAGCUAAUGCAAUCAUUAAUGCCAUCUUCAUAACUUAACUCAUUUGAAGUACGUCUGGCGUUUGUAUAUUUUGGUACGGGUUGUAUAAUAGAGAAAACGGGAGUUACAUGACCUCAUUUCCGCUUUGAGGAAGCUUACGAGACUUCCGGAGCCACCGCAUGUUACCAAGAAAAGUCAGCCAUUUUAAAUCGAGAUGUGGAUUUCGUAACUCUUUGGUGCUUUAUCAACACAGGAGAUAUUAUGAACUUCAUAAGCGCUUGAAAAGCUCGUAACCCGUUAAUGAAUCCCCGGUUAAAAAAUGGUUAUAUUUAAGCGCAUGGCGCAGAAUAAAAAUAAAUUACCUUACAGAAACACCCCAGGAAAAAUACCAAGCAAGAACAUAGGCGGAAAAGUUUGUGCAAAUUAAUAUUAAGUAAUACUGACGAACUUUAUAUCUAAUCAAAACAGCAGGGAAACUUUGUCACGCCUGAUGCGCCAUCUUUGUACUGCCAAUGAGCAUCUAGGAAGUUCAAAAUUUUAAUAUUUUCAACCCAUCAGCGGCGAGUAUUCCUCUAUAUACUGUAUUUCCAGCCAACCUCUUCAGCACAGGGCUGUCGAGAUUUCCCACUCUUGUUUAUCGACCAUGCUGAUUGGUUCAAAUCUGGUAAUUCGUCUGCUAAUCGGUAAACCGCCAAAACUUGAUGACGUAGUCGGUAAAACGUUACCUUAGGAAAUAUGCUUUUUCAUGGCUAAAAUACCAUAUAGAAUACACAGAAAUAAAUUGUAGAUGUAUUUAAUUACCUUACUUACAUUAUAUUAGCGAUAUUUUAGCAGAACUAAAGUAAUAAAAAUUACAAUUGAAAAAAAUACAAAUCUAAUGUGAUCUCAUAUAACACUCUGAAUGGUGUAUAAUGCAGUGUUUAUUAUUCAGAAAUUUAUAAAACUAAUGACAGGAACAAUGACAUUCAAUGAGUAUGAGGACUACUCUAAUAUAAUUACUGUAUCUGGGAUCUUCGUUACCCUCACCACACAUGUUCUCGCAACCAAUCAAAACGCGAGCAGUUGAACCAAUCAGCGUGUUCGGUCAACAAGAGUCGGACAUCUCAACAGCCUUCACUAAGCAGUUCGUGUCCAGUCGCUUCUCAGUGUGUGUGUGUGUGUGAAUAUUAUUUGUUAAAAAUUUCGUUCCAGACAUUUUUAUAUUAAUCCAUAACUGAACUUUAAUGCAAUAGACAUUUGAGUGAAGGUUGACAGCCUUAGAAGAGCUGUAACUUGUGGCCAAUGUAAGAGACACACGCAGUUAACAUUAAGGGUGGGAAGUAACUCUCAGUCACAAGAGGAAAAUUUAAGAACCAGCCAAAUUAUAAAGAGUUAUACCAAGAUAUCAAGAUUUAAAUAUCACCCAAAAGGCGAAGAAUUAGAUACCAGCCAAGAAUUCACUACCAGUCAAAAGAUAAGGAAAUAUAAGUGUUGUAUUUGUGUCAGUUUAAGGUGAAUUACUGCUCAAUAAGUGUAUGUAUAUACAGUAUACAGUAUAUGAUUAAUCAAAUACCGUACCAGCCAAAGAAAUUAACUAUUAUCACAUAAGCAAAAGCUGACCCCUGUGUGUAAUCUUUUAUAUGUCAAACCAAAGACUGAUUGUGAUAAUCAUAAGAAAAGAUAACUGUAACUUGUGAUAAACUGACAGUAAACUGAAAGUGACAAUGUAUUAAAGAAACAAAAAGUAUGAACAUUAUGACAAAUCUUAGAGAUGUAAGAAAGAAUAAGACUAGUGAUGAAAGAACUAGGAUAUUAUUAUUGAAAGAAAAGAAGACUGAAAUGCUUCCAUCUCUACGGCCACCACACAAGGGUUAAGUGUUUUAUUUCAGUUCACCCCAAGAUACAAAGAAGCCACAGUGAAGAUAACCGAGAAACAGUAAGAUUUAUGUGUGCUCUGACAGAAAAAAACAAUUGUGUAAUCAAAGAAAAAUAAAGUGAAAAUAAUGACAUUAAAGACAUUUGGAGAGAAAGUGAUGGUAUUAAAUUAAAAAGGUGAUGAAAAGAGUGAAAGAAAUAAAAGCAAAGAAACAAUGAGUAUAUCUGGAAGUGAUAACAAAAUAAUGGCUGGAAAUAUGAUAACAUGCAAACAAUAAUUGCUGGAAGUGAUGAUGUAAAAUAAUAAUGACUGGAAAUGAUGAAAACAAUACUGAAUACUUUGGUGACAUCAACUUAGGAUCAGUCAAUGCAGAUAUAUUACCACCUCAGCGCAACACACACACACACAAGGAUGUGUGCUGGUAUGACAUGGAGCUUAAAGUGAGUGACCAUUGAAAAAAGAAGAGAACCCUUACUUCACCUCCACCAGAGGUGGUGAUGAGGGAAAAAA
This 6535-nucleotide long non-coding RNA is filed under the name Homarus americanus (American lobster). RNAcentral's name for it is "uncharacterized LOC121857770". The record is from RNAcentral. Lineage: Eukaryota; Metazoa; Arthropoda; Malacostraca; Decapoda; Nephropidae.